Long non-coding RNA from Etheostoma spectabile (orangethroat darter), 88 nucleotides. RefSeq lists it as uncharacterized. The record is from RefSeq and is a predicted model, not a curated record. NCBI's taxonomy places the organism in Eukaryota, Metazoa, Chordata, Actinopteri, Perciformes, Percidae. The transcript is spliced from 3 exons.
GAAAGAAAGAAAGAGGAUGAGUGGGGAAAACUGUGGUAUUGUAGCUUGUGUGUGUGUGUGUGUGGUUGUGUGUUAGAGCGAGAGAGAG